Molecule: ribosomal RNA, 234 nt
Filed under: uncultured bacterium
Lineage: Bacteria
Description: partial 16S ribosomal RNA
Rfam family: Bacterial small subunit ribosomal RNA
Source: RNAcentral
AGGAAUGCAUGGGUAACCUGUCCUUGAGAAGGGAAUAACCCGCCGAAAGGUGAGCUAAUACCCUAUACGCUUUGCUUUUUUUGAAAAGUGAAGGAAAGUCAAGCCGUGGGCUUGGCGCUCUCGGAGGGGCUCAUGUCCUAUCAGCUUGUUGGUGGGGUAACGGCCUACCAAGGCUACGACGGGUAGCUGGUCUGAGAGGAUGAUCAGCCACACUGGCACUGAGAUACGGGCCAG